This 120-nucleotide small RNA is filed under the name uncultured Succinivibrio sp. Its description in RNAcentral is "HNH endonuclease-associated RNA and ORF (HEARO) RNA". It matches the Rfam family "HNH endonuclease-associated RNA and ORF (HEARO) RNA", at positions 1 to 107 of the family's 211-position model. The record is from RNAcentral. Lineage: Bacteria; Pseudomonadati; Pseudomonadota; Gammaproteobacteria; Aeromonadales; Succinivibrionaceae.
GUCAACGACCCACCGCUUAAAGCUUAGCUUUUGAAGCGGGGGCUUCACAGCCUAGUUGACUAGACUAAGUGCUUAGAGCACUACGUUAUUUGAGAAAUUGAUAUAGGUACCUACAGAUGU